RNAcentral lists this ribosomal RNA (2556 nucleotides) under Enterococcus faecalis. Its description in RNAcentral is "bacterial LSU rRNA". It matches the Rfam family "Bacterial large subunit ribosomal RNA", at positions 1 to 2571 of the family's 2925-position model. The record is from RNAcentral. Lineage: Bacteria; Bacillati; Bacillota; Bacilli; Lactobacillales; Enterococcaceae.
UUAAGUGAAUAAGGGCGCACGGUGGAUGCCUUGGCACUAGGAGCCGAUGAAGGACGGGACUAACACCGAUAUGCUUUGGGGAGCUGUAAGUAAGCUAUGAUCCAGAGAUUUCCGAAUGGGGGAACCCAAUAUCUUUUAUAGGAUAUUACUUUUCAGUGAAUACAUAGCUGAUUAGAGGUAGACGCAGAGAACUGAAACAUCUUAGUACCUGCAGGAAGAGAAAGAAAAUUCGAUUCCCUGAGUAGCGGCGAGCGAAACGGGAAGAGCCCAAACCAACAAGCUUGCUUGUUGGGGUUGUAGGACUCCAAUAUGGUAGUCUGUUAGUAUAGUUGAAGGAUUUGGAAAAUUCCGCUAAAGAGGGUGAAAGCCCCGUAGACGAAAUGCUAACAACACCUAGGAGAAUCCUGAGUACGGCGGAACACGAGAAAUUCCGUCGGAAUCCGCGGGGACCAUCCCGCAAGGCUAAAUACUCCCUAGUGACCGAUAGUGAACCAGUACCGUGAGGGAAAGGUGAAAAGCACCCCGGAAGGGGAGUGAAAUAGAUCCUGAAACCGUGUGCCUACAACAAGUCAAAGCUCGUUAAUGAGUGAUGGCGUGCCUUUUGUAGAAUGAACCGGCGAGUUACGAUUGCAUGCGAGGUUAAGUCGAAGAGACGGAGCCGCAGCGAAAGCGAGUCUGAAUAGGGCGAAUGAGUAUGUAGUCGUAGACCCGAAACCAUGUGAUCUACCCAUGUCCAGGUUGAAGGUGCGGUAAAACGCACUGGAGGACCGAACCCACGUACGUUGAAAAGUGCGGGGAUGAGGUGUGGGUAGCGGAGAAAUUCCAAACGAACUUGGAGAUAGCUGGUUCUCUCCGAAAUAGCUUUAGGGCUAGCCUCGGAAUUGAGAAUGAUGGAGGUAGAGCACUGUUUGGACUAGGGGCCCAUCUCGGGUUACCGAAUUCAGAUAAACUCCGAAUGCCAUUCAUUUAUAUCCGGGAGUCAGACUGCGAGUGAUAAGAUCCGUAGUCGAAAGGGAAACAGCCCAGACCACCAGCUAAGGUCCCAAAAUAUAUGUUAAGUGGAAAAGGAUGUGGGGUUGCACAGACAACUAGGAUGUUGGCUUAGAAGCAGCCACCAUUUAAAGAGUGCGUAAUAGCUCACUAGUCGAGUGACCCUGCGCCGAAAAUGUACCGGGGCUAAACAUAUUACCGAAGCUGUGGACUACACCAUUAGGUGUAGUGGUAGGAGAGCGUUCUAAGGGCGUUGAAGGUCGAUCGUGAGGACGGCUGGAGCGCUUAGAAGUGAGAAUGCCGGUAUGAGUAGCGAAAGACAGGUGAGAAUCCUGUCCACCGUAUGACUAAGGUUUCCUGGGGAAGGCUCGUCCGCCCAGGGUUAGUCGGGACCUAAGCCGAGGCCGAUAGGCGUAGGCGAUGGACAACAGGUUGAUAUUCCUGUACCAGUUGUUUUUGUUUGAGCAAUGGAGGGACGCAGUAGGCUAAGGAAUGCAUGCGAUUGGAAGUGCAUGUCCAAGCAAUGAGUCUUGAGUAGAGUUAAAUGCUUUACUCUUUAAGGACAAGUUGUGACGGGGAGCGAAAUAAUAGUAGCAAAGUUCCUGAUGUCACACUGCCAAGAAAAGCUUCUAGUGAGAAAACAACUGCCCGUACCGUAAACCGACACAGGUAGUCGAGGAGAGUAUCCUAAGGUGAGCGAGCGAACUCUCGUUAAGGAACUCGGCAAAAUGACCCCGUAACUUCGGGAGAAGGGGUGCUGACUUCGGUCAGCCGCAGUGAAUAGGCCCAAGCGACUGUUUAUCAAAAACACAGGUCUCUGCAAAAUCGUAAGAUGAAGUAUAGGGGCUGACGCCUGCCCGGUGCUGGAAGGUUAAGAGGAUGGGUUAGCUUCGGCGAAGCUCAGAAUUGAAGCCCCAGUAAACGGCGGCCGUAACUAUAACGGUCCUAAGGUAGCGAAAUUCCUUGUCGGGUAAGUUCCGACCCGCACGAAAGGCGUAACGAUUUGGGCACUGUCUCAACGAGAGACUCGGUGAAAUUUUAGUACCUGUGAAGAUGCAGGUUACCCGCGACAGGACGGAAAGACCCCAUGGAGCUUUACUGUAGUUUGAUAUUGAGUGUUUGUACCACAUGUACAGGAUAGGUAGGAGCCGAUGAGACCGGAACGCUAGUUUCGGAGGAGGCGCUGGUGGGAUACUACCCUUGUGUUAUGAACCCUCUAACCCGCACCACUAAUCGUGGUGGGAGACAGUGUCAGAUGGGCAGUUUGACUGGGGCGGUCGCCUCCUAAAAGGUAACGGAGGCGCCCAAAGGUUCCCUCAGAAUGGUUGGAAAUCAUUCGAAGAGUGUAAAGGCAGAAGGGAGCUUGACUGCGAGACCUACAAGUCGAGCAGGGACGAAAGUCGGGCUUAGUGAUCCGGUGGUUCCGCAUGGAAGGGCCAUCGCUCAACGGAUAAAAGCUACCCUGGGGAUAACAGGCUUAUCUCCCCCAAGAGUCCACAUCGACGGGGAGGUUUGGCACCUCGAUGUCGGCUCGUCGCAUCCUGGGGCUGUAGUCGGUCCCAAGGG